AUCGCAAAGAGCAUCAGCUCCACGAACUGGGUGAGCCAGCAGGAUGAGGAGUCAGGCUGAGACAUAGCAGUCACGUUACUGAGACUUCUUCACAGGGACUGAAGUGGUUGGGAGGAAAGGAGUAAAAGGGACAGCAGUAACCACUACAGCAGUGUGGACAACCCAAAAUAGCGAUGGGGCAGGUGGAGUAGAUCCACAGUGGUGGAAACACUUGCAAAUUUCAGGUCCAGGAAAGGAACACAGAAGACCUACAUGAACAGGGACCUUAAAUUGAUGUAUGAGGAGGGAGUAAAGAGGCUCAUCUGAGAGACCUUUCUGUUUAGGAAGGAAGACAGGGGAACGAUGCAGUUUCUUUUGAUUUUGUUUUGUGGAUUUUUGGGUGGGGGUUGUUUGUUGUGUGUUUGUUUUCCAGAACACCUGAGAGCUAUCCUGCAUUCAUACAGUUCAAGAAGGGAAGGGCUCAGGAAAAAUAUCAUUUCUGGCUACAAAGUCGAGACAGCACCAGAUCCUAGCAGUCGUUACGCCCCUGUUGCACUGUUCCACAGGGUUGCCCCCUACCUGCACAGCUGCUCACCUGGCAUCCCACUCAUUUACAAGAGUAUGGAGAGAACUGGAAUGCAAAGCUGAGGCAUUUUUAUGAUCUUUUAUUGUCCUACAUUUCCAGCUGUUUGUAAAACAAAUGCAGUGACUUGUUUUGGUGUUGUGGUCAGACUGUUUCAGUGUUGUGGUCAGCCUGCAGCCAUUUUUGUAUUUAAUAAAGAAACUUCUGCAGAAGAGUGUGAGUUCA
Long non-coding RNA from Melopsittacus undulatus (budgerigar), 787 nucleotides. RefSeq lists it as uncharacterized. The transcript is spliced from 2 exons. The record is from RefSeq and is a predicted model, not a curated record. NCBI's taxonomy places the organism in Eukaryota, Metazoa, Chordata, Aves, Psittaciformes, Psittaculidae.